GCUGGAGAAUUGGAGAGUGAGCGAUGAGAGAGAGAAGACGAAUGAGCUGUUUGUAGGGAGAGAAAUUAAAAAUAGAGCCUGGAGAGGCUGCUUUAAUGACGGGGACUUAGGGGAGAGAAAGAAGCAAAGAGGAUCUGAAGGCGAAUGAGAGCUGUAAUUUAAACCUGAAGUUAUCGAGAGCUGAGAUAAACCACACAUCACGUGCAAUUUAAUCUGGCAGGGAAACAGGCCACUCGGAAUUGCUAACUAGGCCUAAUUCAUUACAUCUCGGUGAAUGCAGUACUUUUGGUCUUACGCGUCUUUCAACUCCUGCAUUAAUAUAUUUACCCAGACCUCAUGGAAAAUGUAUGGGAAUGGAAACAGAAAUACUGUAUCCUUGUUUAAAUCACAUUUCAUUUUUUAAACAGCUCAAAUGAUUGCUCAGAAAGAUCACACCUUCUUCCGAAGCAUUUAUGAAACAAUUAUUUACAUUACAUUAAAAACUUUAAUUGCCUCAAAGCACGUGCUCUGAGACACAAAUAUUGGAAAAUCAUCAAAAAUAUCCAUCAUGAUUCUCUCUUCUUUAUAACUCUUCUAAACUUUAUCUUUUUUAUAACCCACUGUAUUGAUCUAUUGUCCCAGACCAAGAGUGAUGUCAGAAGUCUAGGCUGGGUCAUAAAAAGAAUAUAAUUUCCAUUUGCUGUCCAUAAAAGCAAAUCUUUUGAUCAGAGAAAAAGGAAAAACAUGUCCCCUUUUUUUGAGUGGGGAAGAGGGUGCGGUGCUAUGUAUCAGGGGAAUAAGCCAGAGAGGAAGGGUGACCUCACCUUUAAGGGUGGUGGCAGGGAUAGGCAAGGGGGUUGGUGAUGGAGGGGGCUGGGAGUAUGAGUUCCCCCUGGAGGUGACAUCUCACCUCCAGGGGAAGUGGAAACAGAGGACCUCGAGCUUGCACAGAGGCAAAAACAAACAAACAAACAAACAAACAAACAAACAAAAAAGCAGACAGAAAAAUGUAAAACAAGAAAUCCAGUCACCCCGGUUGUCAAGAGUCCGAAGAAUUGCAAAGGACCGGAACCUCCCUCUAGCCAUGCUGAAGACCCUCUCCCCAAAGACAAUCACAAUAAAGGAAUGUCAUGUUGCAAAGAACG
This 1124-nucleotide long non-coding RNA is filed under the name Homo sapiens (human). RNAcentral's name for it is "HSALNT0370473". Lineage: Eukaryota; Metazoa; Chordata; Mammalia; Primates; Hominidae. The record is from RNAcentral.